Molecule: ribosomal RNA, 1027 nt
Filed under: Acarospora sp. LN-2019a
Lineage: Eukaryota; Fungi; Ascomycota; Lecanoromycetes; Acarosporales; Acarosporaceae
Description: partial large subunit ribosomal RNA
Rfam family: Eukaryotic large subunit ribosomal RNA
Source: RNAcentral
UACGGCGAGUGAAGCGGCAACAGCUCAAAUUUGAAAUCUGGCCUUUUCAGGGUCCGAGUUGUAAUUUGUAGAGGAUGCUUCGGGUACGGCUCCGGUCUAAGUUCCUUGGAACAGGACGUCAUAGAGGGUGAGAAUCCCGUAUGUGACUGGCCGCCACGCCCGUGUGAAGCUCCUUCGACGAGUCGAGUUGUUUGGGAAUGCAGCUCAAAAUGGGUGGUAAAUUUCAUCUAAAGCUAAAUAUUGGCCAGAGACCGAUAGCGCACAAGUAGAGUGAUCGAAAGAUGAAAAGCACUUUGGAAAGAGAGUUAAACAGUACGUGAAAUUGUUGAAAGGGAAGCGCUUGCAAUCAGACUUGCCCGCGGGUGAUCAGCCGGUAUUCUUACCGGUGCACUCGCCCGUGGUCAGGCCAGCAUCGGUUUGGGCGGUUGGAUAAAGUCCCCCGGAACGUAGCUCCCUUCGGGGAGUGUUAUAGCCGGGGGUGCAAUGCAUCCUGCCCGGACCGAGGACCGCGCUUCUGCUAGGAUGCUGGCGUAAUGGUUGUAAGCGACCCGUCUUGAAACACGGACCAAGGAGUCUAACAUCUAUGCGAGUGUUUGGGUGUCAAACCCAUGCGCGUAAUGAAAGUGAACGGAGGUGGGAACCCUUAAGGGUGCACCAUCGACCGAUCCUGACGUCUUCAGAUGGAUUUGAGUAAGAGCAUAGCUGUUGGGACCCGAAAGAUGGUGAACUAUGCCUGAAUAGGGUGAAGCCAGAGGAAACUCUGGUGGAGGCUCGCAGCGGUUCUGACGUGCAAAUCGAUCGUCAAAUUUGGGUAUAGGGGCGAAAGACUAAUCGAACCAUCUGUCUACUAGAUGGCAUAUGGGCCAGGCGAGCCCGAGUAGUCCCCGCGCAAGGGGGCGACAUCGUCGGUCUUCCGGGGACGCCAGUGGGCUACCCGCAGUGGGCCUCCGGGCUCAUUCACAGACUAAGUGGCGGUGGCCGUGCAGGCAGCGCGGUUAGGAUAUAGCCGAUCCCCCCUCGACGGGGG